This 550-nucleotide ribosomal RNA is filed under the name Aureobasidium pullulans. RNAcentral describes it as "eukaryotic LSU rRNA". It matches the Rfam family "Eukaryotic large subunit ribosomal RNA", at positions 69 to 633 of the family's 3401-position model. The record is from RNAcentral. Lineage: Eukaryota; Fungi; Ascomycota; Dothideomycetes; Dothideales; Saccotheciaceae.
CGGGGAUUGCCCUAGUAACGGCGAGUGAAGCGGCAACAGCUCAAAUUUGAAAGCUGGCCUUCGGGUUCGCAUUGUAAUUUGUAGAGGAUGCUUUGGGUAAAACGCCAUGUCUAAGUUCCUUGGAACAGGACGUCAUAGAGGGUGAGAAUCCCGUAUGUGACUGGAAAUGUUAACCUAUGUAAAGCUCCUUCGACGAGUCGAGUUGUUUGGGAAUGCAGCUCUAAAUGGGAGGUAAAUUUCUUCUAAAGCUAAAUAUUGGCGAGAGACCGAUAGCGCACAAGUAGAGUGAUCGAAAGAUGAAAAGCACUUUGGAAAGAGAGUUAAAAAGCACGUGAAAUUGUUGAAAGGGAAGCGCUUGCAAUCAGACUUGUUUAAACUGUUCGGCCGGUCUUCUGACCGGUUUACUCAGUUUGGACAGGCCAGCAUCAGUUUCGGCGGCCGGAUAAAGGCAUUGGGAAUGUGGCCUUCACUUCGGUGGAGGUGUUAUAGCCCAGUGUGUAAUACGGCCAGCCGGGACUGAGGUCCGCGCUUCGGCUAGGAUGCUGGCGUA